Molecule: ribosomal RNA, 322 nt
Filed under: uncultured eukaryote
Lineage: Eukaryota
Description: partial 18S ribosomal RNA
Rfam family: Eukaryotic small subunit ribosomal RNA
Source: RNAcentral
CCCUUAGAUGUUCUGGGCCGCGCGUGUGCUACACUGAGUGGAUCAGCGGGUCAGGUUGCGCGAAAGCGUUUCCUAAUCUUUAAAUCCGCUCGUGAUGGGGAUUGACGGUUGCAAUUUUCUGUCAUGAACGAGGAAUACCUUGUAAGCGCGGGUCAUCAUCCCGCGCUGAAUACGUCCCUGCCCUUUGUACACACCGCCCGUCGCUCCUACCGAUUGAGUGGUCCGGUGAGGCUUUGGGAUCUGAGCGGAAAGAGCGUUUCGCUGUUUCUGCUCGGAAAACUCAGUCGAACCUUAUCAUUUAGAGGAAGGAGAAGUCGUAACA